This 22-nucleotide non-coding RNA is filed under the name Mus musculus (house mouse). Lineage: Eukaryota; Metazoa; Chordata; Mammalia; Rodentia; Muridae. The record is from RNAcentral.
UGUCAAUAUCGCCUCUCAUUCU